Molecule: ribosomal RNA, 301 nt
Filed under: uncultured bacterium
Lineage: Bacteria
Description: partial 16S ribosomal RNA
Rfam family: Bacterial small subunit ribosomal RNA
Source: RNAcentral
CAGCCGCCACGGUAAUACGUAGGGUGCGAGCGUUAAUCAGAAUUACUGGGCGUAAAGCGUGCGCAGGCGGUUCGUUAAGACAGAUGUGAAAUCCCCGGGCUUAACCUGGGAACUGCAUUUGUGACUGGCGAGCUAGAGUAUGGCAGAGGGGGGUAGAAUUCACGUGUAGCAGUGAAAUGCGUAGAGAUGCGGAGGAAUACCGAUGGCGAAGGCAGCCCCCUGGGCCAAUACUGACGCUCAUGCACGAAAGCGUGGGGAGCAAACAGGAUUAGAUACCCGUGUAGUCCCUGUCUCUUAUACC